CAGUCGCCACGGUAAUACGAAGGGUGCAAGCGUUAAUCGGAAUUACUGGGCGUAAAGCGCGCGUAGGUGGUUUGGUAAGAUGGAUGUGAAAUCCCCGGGCUCAACCUGGGAACUGCAUCCAUAACUGCCUGACUAGAGUACGGUAGAGGGUGGUGGAAUUUCCUGUGUAGCGGUGAAAUGCGUAGAUAUAGGAAGGAACACCAGUGGCGAAGGCGACCACCUGGACUGAUACUGACACUGAGGUGCGAAAGCGUGGGGAGCAAACAGGAUUAGAUACCCGGGUAGUCCCUGUCUCUUAUAC
This 301-nucleotide ribosomal RNA is filed under the name uncultured bacterium. Its description in RNAcentral is "partial 16S ribosomal RNA". It matches the Rfam family "Bacterial small subunit ribosomal RNA", at positions 509 to 807 of the family's 1533-position model. The record is from RNAcentral.